AGUGGAUGGGGAGCAACCUAGUUGUGCGUGUGUAAAGGUAGUGCCAAGAAAAGCGAUGAUCAUGUUGAAAAUCAAUUCCCGGUACCCGAAACCGACACAGGUGGGCAAGUAGAGAAUACUAAGGGGCGCGAGGUAACUCUCUCCAAGGAACUCGGCAAAAUGACCCCGUAACUUAGGGAGAAGGGGUGCCACCGAGAGGUGGUCGCAGUGAAGAGGCCCAGGCGACUGUUUAGCAAAAACAUAGGUCUCUGCAAACUCGAAAGAGGAGGUAUAGGGGCUGACGCCUGCCCAGUGCCGGAAGGUUAAAGAAGUUGGUCAGUCUUAGGAUGAAGCUAGCGACUGAAGCCCCGGUGAACGGCGGCCGUAACUAUAACGGUCCUAAGGUAGCGAAAUUCCUUGUCGGGUAAGUUCCGACCCGCACGAAAGGCGUAACGAUCUGGGCGCUGUCUCGGAGAGAGGCUCGGCGAAAUAGGAUUGUCUGUGAAGAUACGGACUACCUGCAUUUGGACAGAAAGACCCUAUGAAGCUUUACUAUAGCUUGGAAUUGUGUUCGGGCUUCCUGUGCGCAGGAUAGGUGGGAGGCGUAGAAGGUAUUCUUGUGGGGAUACUGGAGCCAACGGUGAGAUACCACUCUCAGGAGGCUAGAAUUCUAACUUAAUUAAGGACAGUUUCAGGUGGGUAGUUUGACUGGGGCGGUCGCCUCCAAAAAGGUAACGGAGGCGUACAAAGGUUCCCUCAGACUGGUUGGAAAUCAGUCGAAGAGUGCAAAGGCAGAAGGGAGCUUGACUGCGAGAAGUACAGUUCGAGCAGGGUGGAAACACGGUCUUAGUGAUCCGACGGUGCUGUGUGGAAGGGCCGUCGCUCAACGGAUAAAAGUUACUCUAGGAUAACAGGCUGAUCUCCCCCAAGAGUUCACAUCGACGGGGAGGUUUGGCACCUCGAUGUCGGCUCAUCGCAACCUGGGGCGGAAGUACGUCCCAAGGGUUGGGCUGUUCGCCCAUUAAAGCGGUACGUGAGCUGGGUUCAGAACGUCGUGAGACAGUUCGGUCCAUAUCCGAUGUAGGCGUGAGAAUAUUGAGAGGAGCCUUCCUUAGUACGAGAGGACCGGGAAGGACGCACCGCUGGUGUACCUGUUAUGAUGCCAAUUGUAAACGCAGGGUAGCCAAGUGCGGAGAGGAUAACCGCUGAAAGCAUCUAAGUGGGAAGCCCACCUCAAGAUGAGUAUUCUGGUGUAAGGUCACGGGAAGACGACCCGUAAAUAGGCACGAGGUGGAAGUGCAGAGAUGUAUGAAGCCGAAGUGUACUAAUAGACCGUCGGCUUGAC
Molecule: ribosomal RNA, 1324 nt
Filed under: metagenome
Description: bacterial LSU rRNA
Rfam family: Bacterial large subunit ribosomal RNA
Source: RNAcentral